RNAcentral lists this ribosomal RNA (538 nucleotides) under Fittkauimyia serta. RNAcentral describes it as "partial large subunit ribosomal RNA". Lineage: Eukaryota; Metazoa; Arthropoda; Insecta; Diptera; Chironomidae. The record is from RNAcentral.
UAUUAUUAUUAUAAUAAUCAUUGGGCUAUCAAUAGAAUGAUAUUGAAGWUCAACAAUUACAAACAAUACAAUUUUUAAUGAUUGUAUAUAUUGUAUUGUGAGCAUAUUAUAUCUGGUAUAGCUGUCUGAUGGAUUUUAAUGGUUAUAACAUUGAUAUAAUUAUUUAUAUCACCCGUUAUUUAUUUAAUUGGGAAUAAGUUAUAUACCUGAUCAACAACGGUUUCAUUUGGGAUACCUUUGGGACCCGUCUUGAAACACGGACCAAGGAGUCUAUCUAGUAUGCAAGUAAAUGGGAAUAUUAAACCUAUUUGCAUAAAUAACUUAACUAUUAUUUUAUGGGAUUACAAAUAUAUAUUUUUAUAAAUAUAUACUUUUCCAUCCCGGGGUAUUUUCAUAAUAUAUAUAAAUUUUAUUUGUAUAUAGAAAAUAUACCAUGAGCAUACUGGAUAUGACCCGAAAGAUGGUGAACUAUGCUUGAUCAGGUUGAAGUCAGGGGAAACCCUGAUGGAGGACCGAAGCAAUUCUGACGUGCAAAUCG